UAGUCAUGUUGAGGACACCUCCGAAUGAGGUCAUUGAAUCGCUCCCAUGCCUCGUAAAGAGGCUCAAAAUCUAACUGUAUGAAUUGAACGAUCUCGCUCCUCAACUG
Molecule: non-coding RNA, 107 nt
Organism: Morus notabilis
Lineage: Eukaryota; Viridiplantae; Streptophyta; Magnoliopsida; Rosales; Moraceae
Source: Rfam